RNAcentral lists this transfer RNA (72 nucleotides) under Bos taurus (domestic cattle). It matches the Rfam family "tRNA". Rfam says of the family: Transfer RNA (tRNA) molecules are approximately 80 nucleotides in length. Their secondary structure includes four short double-helical elements and three loops (D, anti-codon, and T loops). Lineage: Eukaryota; Metazoa; Chordata; Mammalia; Artiodactyla; Bovidae. RNAcentral also lists the same sequence under 3 other names. The record is from Rfam by way of RNAcentral.
UCCCUUGUGGCUCAGCUGGUAGAGAAUCUGCCUGCAAUGCGGGAGACCUGGGUUCGAUCCCUGGGUUGGGAA